This 175-nucleotide ribosomal RNA is filed under the name Companilactobacillus farciminis. RNAcentral's name for it is "Lactobacillus farciminis partial 16S ribosomal RNA". It matches the Rfam family "Bacterial small subunit ribosomal RNA", at positions 59 to 224 of the family's 1533-position model. The record is from RNAcentral. Lineage: Bacteria; Bacillati; Bacillota; Bacilli; Lactobacillales; Lactobacillaceae.
CUGAAGAUUGAAGCUUGCUUCAUGAUUCAGAUUUUGGUGAGUGGCGGACGGGUGAGUAACACGUGGGUAACCUGCCCAAAAGUGGGGGAUAACAUUUGGAAACAAGUGCUAAUACCGCAUAACAACUACUUUCACAUGAUCGUAGCUUGAAAGAUGGCUCUGCUAUCGCUUUUGG